Molecule: ribosomal RNA, 782 nt
Filed under: uncultured bacterium
Lineage: Bacteria
Description: bacterial SSU rRNA
Rfam family: Bacterial small subunit ribosomal RNA
Source: RNAcentral
UAGAGUUUGAUCCUGGCUCAGAUCCCUCGCUGGCGGCAGGCCUAACACAUGCAAGUCGAGCGGCAGCGGGGAAGUAGCUUGCUACUUUUGCCGGCGAGCGGCGGACGGGUGAGUAAUGCCUGGGAAAUUGCCCAGUCGAGGGGGAUAACAGUUGGAAACGACUGCUAAUACCGCAUACGCCCUACGGGGGAAAGCAGGGGACCUUCGGGCCUUGCGCGAUUGGAUAUGCCCAGGUGGGAUUAGCUAGUUGGUGAGGUAAUGGCUCACCAAGGCGACGAUCCCUAGCUGGUCUGAGAGGAUGAUCAGCCACACUGGAACUGAGACACGGUCCAGACUCCUACGGGAGGCAGCAGUGGGGAAUAUUGCACAAUCGGGGAAACCCUGAUGCAGCCAUGCCGCGUGUGUGAAGAAGGCCUUCGGGUUGUAAAGCACUUUCAGCGAGGAGGAAAGGUUGUUGGCUAAUAUCCAACAGCUGUGACGUUACUCGCAGAAGAAGCUCCGGUUAAUUCCGUCCCACCAGCCGCGGUAAUACGGAGGGCGCAAGCGUUAAUCGGAAUUACUGGGCGUAAAGCGCACGCAGGCGGUUGGAUAAUUUAGAUGUGAAAGCCCCGGGUUCAACCUGGGAAUUCGCAUUUAAAACUGUCCAGCUAGAGUCUUGUAGAGGGGGGUAGAAUUCCAGGUGUAGCGGUGAAAUGCGUAGAGAUCUGGAGGAAUACCGGUGGCGAAGGCGUCCCCCUGGACAAAGACUGCCGCUCAGGUGCGAAAGCGUGGGGAGCAAACAG